This 437-nucleotide ribosomal RNA is filed under the name uncultured bacterium. RNAcentral describes it as "bacterial SSU rRNA". It matches the Rfam family "Bacterial small subunit ribosomal RNA", at positions 340 to 773 of the family's 1533-position model. The record is from RNAcentral.
UACGGGAGGCAGCAGGGGGAAUAUUGCACAAUGGGCGCAAGCCUGAUGCAGCCAUGCCGCGUGUAUGAAGAAGGCCUUCGGGUUGUAAAGUACUUUCAGUCGUGAGGAAGGUGUUAAGGUUAAUAACCUUAGCAAUUGACGUUAGCGACAGAAGAAGCACCGGCUAACUCCGUGCCAGCAGCCGCGGUAAUACGGAGGGUGCGAGCGUUAAUCGGAAUUACUGGGCGUAAAGGGCACGCAGGCGGUUAAUUAAGUUGGAUGUGAAAUCCCCGGGCUUAACCUGGGAAUGGCAUUCAAGACUGGUUAGCUAGAGUCUGUAGAGGGGGUAGAAUUCCAUGUGUAGCGGUGAAAUGCGUAGAGAUGUGGAGGAAUACCGGUGGCGAAGGCGGCCCCUGGACAAAGACUGACGCUCAUGUGCGAAAGCGUGGGGAGCAAAC